Molecule: non-coding RNA, 270 nt
Organism: Paramuricea clavata
Lineage: Eukaryota; Metazoa; Cnidaria; Anthozoa; Malacalcyonacea; Plexauridae
Source: the annotation of a GenBank genome assembly
GAGAAUUGGAAGCGAGGAAAAAGGUGGUGUUGUAACUACAGAACAAUUCCGUCAUAAUUUCAGGUUUCUCGGAUCACAUAAAAAAUUCAUAACAAUUUCAGCCAUUGCCAUUCAUUGACGACGAGAAACUGUUGACAGUUGUUAUUAUUUGAAGUCAUUGUAUGUAACGAGAAUUGGAAGCGAGGAAAAAGGUGGUGUUGUAACUACAGAACAAUUCCGUCAUAAUUUCUGGUUUCUCGGAUCACAUAAAAAAUUCAUAACAAUUUCAGC